Long non-coding RNA from Gasterosteus aculeatus aculeatus (three-spined stickleback), 486 nucleotides. The record is from Ensembl. NCBI's taxonomy places the organism in Eukaryota, Metazoa, Chordata, Actinopteri, Perciformes, Gasterosteidae.
GCGCCACCGUCGACCGCAACCGUGUUCCUUGGGCAUAGCAUUUAUUGAGGUAGCAGACAGUAGUAAACUGUUAUGCAGUCUGGUCGUGAGGGCCCGACUGCUUCUCAGCUGUCCUCACUAUCCUCUGCAGGGCUACGCGGUCUCAAACGGUGCCAAACCAGGCAGUGAUGCUGCUGCUCAGGAUGCUCUCAUUAGCCCCCCCGAUACAACGUAGUGAGUAUGGGGGGGGGGAGAUGUGCUUUCCUCCGCCUUCGAAGAAAGUAGAGACGCUGCUGGGCUUUCUGGUGUCGAGGGACCAGGACAGGUUGUUGGCUCUACACCAGUCAGUUAGCCGCCGCACCUCCUCUCCGUAUGCUGACUCAUCGUUCUUGCUGAUGAGACCCACCGCGGUCGUUCCAGCUGUGCAUUGCUGCACAGUGGUGAGUCAGCAGAGUGAACAGUAGUGGACUGAGCACCAGUGGCGAAGGGAACCUUUCCGAGGAAGCC